GCCACGUUAUUGAAUAGACAAAAUCCCAUCGCCUCAUCAUGUUCAGCAUGAUGUCCAGGAGGCCUAACUAUAGCAGCAGCAGAAUGCAAUUCCCCUUUGGCUACUUUCUCAGCAACCUCUAUGACAGAACCAGCAGCAAGGUAAGCAGCUUCUGAUGAUCCUUCAUUAAAGUAUAUGGAAUUGAAUUUUGAAGCAAUUCUAUUUCUUCGAGAAUCAAAUUUUUUGGACCUUAUAUUUCUAAUCAAAUUAACAUGAUUCUUGGAGUGAAC
Molecule: unclassified non-coding RNA, 269 nt
Filed under: Hevea brasiliensis (rubber tree)
Lineage: Eukaryota; Viridiplantae; Streptophyta; Magnoliopsida; Malpighiales; Euphorbiaceae
Source: RNAcentral